UGAGGGGCAUGAUAUUAGGAUCAAAUCCCACAUUUGAUAUAACUACAAACUUUUAUCCUAUUAUGCAAUACUUGUUUUCUAGCAUUAGAUCUCUAGAUAACUUUACGGUUCAAGGGAUAUAUGGGACCCCUAGAUAUUGGACUAGGCUUGGUCGUGUAUAUAUAGACCUGGAUUCUACCCUCCAAAGGUAGAGCUCCCACUUC
This 203-nucleotide long non-coding RNA is filed under the name Elaeis guineensis (African oil palm). RNAcentral's name for it is "long non-coding RNA (EGUI_LNC034513)". The record is from RNAcentral. Lineage: Eukaryota; Viridiplantae; Streptophyta; Magnoliopsida; Arecales; Arecaceae.